RNAcentral lists this long non-coding RNA (1899 nucleotides) under Lathyrus oleraceus (garden pea). RNAcentral's name for it is "Pisum sativum (pea) long non-coding RNA (PSAT_LNC025930)". Lineage: Eukaryota; Viridiplantae; Streptophyta; Magnoliopsida; Fabales; Fabaceae. The record is from RNAcentral.
AAAUUCCAACUUCAAACAAUGUCAAAAUUACAAUCACUGUAAUACAUAGUUUUAAUUCCAUUACACAAUUCACAAUAGUUUAACCCAAAUUACAACCAUUUGAACCAAUAUCCAUGUACAUUUUCAAAGCAUUAUCCAUUAAACCCAUAACCCAUAUCCAAUAAGACAAGAAAAUGAAAAGUAAUUAAAAGGCUACUUGCAAGUACACAACAAGCUUCCAAAACGCAGGUAGCAGCCAGCAUCCAAAACGGCAUGUGAAAUCCAAAAGCUACAACACGCUAACAACAUCAAAACCAAACUGCAACCAAAGCAGCUACGGCGUGAACAGUGUAACGACAACAUUAGCUGCAACAAUCCAACCAUAACGCAGCUCAUAACAACGCAAAUGCAUCCAACCAAAGUCGAAAGCGCGACCAUACAGUCCAAAGAAAAAGCUGCUGCCACAACCGAAACAAACGGCAACGCAAGCAGUCCCUACCUGCACCAAUAAUCUCACAAAUUAGCAUCCCAAUUUCAAUAACAAACCAACCUGCACAUAAAUCUAUAACAGAAGCAAAAGAAAAUACCAAGAAACUCCAACAAAAUUGGAAACGAUAACGGAAACUGAACUGGACUUCAAAAAAACAAUUCCCACUCAAAACCAUAACCAACUCCAGGCAACUUAACCUGCAGAGUUUCAUUCAGAACUCGGUUCUGCAGAAAACUCCAAACAUAACUCGAUCUGAAAACCACGCUGCUACAAACUGAGUUCUAAAACCCACCACCACACAUAACCAAUUUUCAAACAAACUGUAACAACCCAAACAGAAUUCUCCAACCUUCAUAACAGAAUGAAAACCGAAAUAACCAACUUUUACAACCAACCUGCUCCUGCAUAACCUCCCUAAAAGCACCAACCUGCUACAUCUCCAAUCUCCCUUAUAAACAACCAUCCUCCAUCACACUUUUAACUUCCUCACUAACUUCACUCCAUCUUCAAUUCACAACUUCAUCCUCCAUAACCUCUUCUUCAACCUCACCCAUCAUCCUCCUCCAAUUCUUCUUCAACCAAGUUACCCCUAACCUGCAACCUCCACGACCCACCCUGUAACUCCAAUUCAAAACAGAAUUUCCUAACUUCACAAACCUUUGAAUGCAACAACCAAAAUAAAAGAUCCCAACUUCGCAACAAUAUUCAAACACAACGCAAACAGAAUAACAGUAGAAGAAGAGACAGAAAUUCCAGAAGCAAAACUGAAAAAAGAAACCUCAACAAGAGCCAUUCCAAACCUGCAUAAUUCUAAGCCAAAAUCCUGAACCUUCAUAACAACCAGAACCGCUUCUUCACAACUUCUUCCACCUAUAACAACCACCAAUCCCUAACAAAAUCCACAUUGAACUGAAUCCUUCAAACCUUCCGAAUACCCCUCCAACAACUGAACAAGAGAGCUACAUAUCGAAUUUCCAACAGAGAAAUUUUGGAACGGCUUCGUAGACGAAUCGCAACAACUUUGCAGCGGGAAGAAGGGAAGAACGAGAAUCAAGUCACCUGGAAUCCUCAAUAAACCAGGUAGGCUCCUCCUUCUCUAUUCUUUUCGAUUAUGCGUGCAAUUGAAUUCAUGUUGACAUUGAAAUACCACAGAUCCCUCAUUGGUUUUCGUUUGUCGCGGAACCUGAAAACGAGACGGUAUGUUGAGAGCCUCAAAUCCUCGCGGACAAUGUGUUGAUGACGAGGGUACGGGGGAUGCGCGAUCCACUUCGUCUUACUUCAGCUGUGAUUCCCACAUAUGCUUAUGAAGGAGAAGAGCGAUCUAAAACGCAUAAUCCAUACGAAUGGGCAUGAUCAGUAAUAGAAUCGUGACCUCAUGUGACGAUUGUAACCUUUGAUGCAGAUCUACGGAGCGAUCACGAACGUCGAAC